This 7944-nucleotide long non-coding RNA is filed under the name Capsicum annuum. RNAcentral describes it as "long non-coding RNA (CANN_LNC021321)". The record is from RNAcentral. Lineage: Eukaryota; Viridiplantae; Streptophyta; Magnoliopsida; Solanales; Solanaceae.
CGGCUUUGGCGGUGGGGGCGGGGUCCUGGGCCUCCACCCACAAUAUACCUAAACUAAAGAUAGUAUAUUUGGUAUCUUGCCUCCAGAUGGUAUUGCGGCACCUAAUAAAUGCUUGUGUAACCCUCAAACGUUUGUUAGAGAACCUUUUAUCAAAUCUAGCGAACCUUGAAAUCUUUGAUUUAUAUCUCUGUUCAUCGUUGAGGACCGUGAAGAUCUCAAGUAACCGACUGUUGCCCUGUCCGAGGAAAUAGUUCUGUAUUUGUAAUUCUUCUCUUUUGUUUGUGCAGGCGUUAUUUAUACCCAAAAAACAUGAGAGAUAACUUGCUUCCUCCACUUUAUGGAACUAAGCAUUCGCACAUACAAAUUAGGUGCUAAGUGAAUUAUCCAGAUUUGGUGGGCAUUAUUGAUAGUUUGCUUUGGUUUUCUCCUCAAGUGGACAUCCUAUCUUUUUGCCGGACUGUAGGCUUAAAGACUGAAGAUAAUUCGUUUAUCUUUCAAAUGCACUAACACCAUAGUAUGCACGAAAAGAUUAGUGGCCUGCACCUGUUGUUCUUUAUGUAUGAUUGUCCUUGCGGUAUGUUUCCUUUCUUAAAUGUCUUUGAUUUUUUAUUUUAGUGACAAAAACUUCAUAUGUGGUUUCAAAUCUGCUGUUUACAUAGCAGGACUCCAAUUAUGUGCAAAGUAGCCAAAACCUAUAGUUAGUGAACUAACAUAUGCAAAAUUAUAUCACCUACAAACUAGUGAUUUUGAGCCUAUUAUAAAGGUUGGCAUGGUUACCAAAUUCUUUUUAGCCCCUUAAAAGUUUGAUUAUAGAAAUUUUUUCCUUAGAAAUAUUUGCGAAAUUAUUGGCUUGUUGACUGGUUAAGGGUCAGGGAUCCUUGGUUGAUUUGUAAACAGUUUGAGAAAUUGUGUGAUUGGAUAAAUUUGAAACUCUAAUUGCUCGAUCUAUUAGUUUGGGCUAUGUUUUAGUCACGUUAGUAUGUUUUAGUCACAUAUAGCCGAUAUUAUUGCUUGAGAUAGAGCUUUAGUUAUUGUAUUGUUACUGUUACCGUUAUUGUUAUUAAUAAUACUAGAACGGUAAGGACACAGACUCGACAAGCUUUUUUCCUUUUGCUAGAACGAAGGCCAAGUGUAUUAUUGAAUUAAAAACUAAGGCGGUUCACUAUUAGUUCCCGAAUAGUGCUUGCAAUAAAGUAAGAUAGCAUAAUUGGGUGGGUUAUCCCAUUAAACAGUACCAUCCCAAAUGAAAUAUGUGAAAUACAAGAUUUCCCAUAGUUUGCAAGACAUUGGGUGGGUUAUCCCAUUAAACAGUACCAUCCCAAAUGAAAUAUGUGAAAUACAAGAUUUCCCAUAGUUUGCAAGACAGUCCACUGCCGUAUUUGUCUCCCUGAAGUAUGAUGAAUGACUGGUAGACCCAUGGCGUCAAGUAGGAGCUAGUCUAGUGGAAACAUGAUAUGUGCACCACUUAUCUAAUCAAACUGCACAUUGUUUUGAUUACCUAAUUGGAUGAAGCUUUCCUUUCCGUAUUUCUUCUUUUUUUAACUUUAUCCCCCGGGAUUGGGGGUGAGGUGGAGGUAUUUUGCGCCAGCUAUAUACAAGUUGUCGAUUCAAAAGAAUGUUUACCUUUCCUAUGUCAGUUUGAUGAUUGAUUGUUCAUGCCUUCAUGGAUAUAUUUGUUACCCUUGUUCCUUUCGUGCAUAUUCGCUUCUAACUUAUUCUCUGGUUUUAUAGUUUACAUACAGAGAUAAUGAAUAUGAGAAACCUUGUUGUGCAUCUCUACCUUGCAAAUGUUGGAGGCAUGAGCUACAGAAAGUUGAAUUGCAAAUCUUUGGCUUGAGGGAGCUAUUGAAUUUGGAAAAAUACUUUCUCAGGAACACAGAUACAUUAGUGAUAAUUGAACAACCACAAGGAUGGAAUCACAGUAAUCCAGUUGGUUAGCAAUUUGAACUUCCCACCUGAUUACCGACCUUGUAAAUCUUCUCCCCUUAUCAUGUUAGGAUUCGGAAAGAAUAAGCAAACCACAAGUAAAAGAAAACAAGAACAAUACACAAAUUUACGUGAAAACCUUUUGCGGGAAAAAUCACGGACAGAGACAAAGGAGGUUUCACUAUGAUGGAAAGAGAGUACAAUGUGGAGAAGGCUGAAUUUUCUGAAUAAUAAAAUAACCCACUAAAACGCACAUAUAUUAUGUGCGUACAAAUAGGUCCUAGGCCCAAAAACAUAAAGGUCCAUCAACCAAAAUUCGGGUCACAAUUCUAACAAUCUCCACCUUGACAUGAAUUCUAAUUCAGAACUCAAAUCCAUUUUAAGACACACUCUCUACCUCUUCCACAAAAGCCCCUAAGGGCACAUCUUAACAGUUAACACUAACCAAGUUCAAGCAAUGCUCAAACUUGGUACUUGGUAGUGUCUUGGAUAUCAGCAGGAUUAUCAUGAGUACUAAUCUUGCUCACCACAAUAUCACCACGAGCAAUAAUUUCACGCACAAAAUGAUACCGAACAUCGAUGUGCUUUGUCCUCUCGUGAAAUAUUUGAUCUUUCCUUAGGAAGAUAACACUCUGACUGUCGUAAAAGACCUUAGUAAUCUGUAAGUCUUUACUAAGUUCACCAAAUAGAUACUUUAACCAAAUAGCUUCCUUGAAAGCCCCUGUAGUAGCCAUGUACUCUGCCUCAGUAGUUGACAAAGCAACCGUAGUCUGUAAGGUAGAUUUCCAACUAAUAGCACAACCACCAAUGGUGAAAACAUAGCCUGUAAGGGAUCUCCUUUUAUCAUGAUCUCCUACAAAAUCAGAAUCAACAUACCCGAUCACUCCAUCUCUAUUUCGCCCAAACUGUAAACAAACAUCAGCAGAUCCAUACAAGUAUCUGAAAAUCCACUGAACUUUUUUCCAAUGUUCUUUGCCAAGAUUUGUCAUGUAUCUGCUAACUACACUGACGGCAGAAGAUAAAUCUGGUCAGGAAUACACCAUCACAUACAUAAGAGACCCAACAGCACUAGAGUAUGGAACUCGAGACAUAUAGUCACGCUCAUCAUCUGCUUUUGGAGAUAAAGUGGUCGAGAGCUUGAAGUAAGAUUCCAAUGGAGUACUUAUAGGUUUGGCAUUUUGCAUAUUGAACCUGUGAAACACUUUCUCAAUAUACUUUUCUGACUCAAAUAUAACUUACACAUCUCUCUAUCCCUCAUAAUUUCCAUGCCAAGAAUCUUCUUUACUGCUCCUAGAUACUUCAUCUCAAACUCCUUGCUGAGCUGGGCUUUGACUUUUAUUAUCUCUCUCAUAUCCUUUGUUGCAAUCAACAUAUCAUCAACAUACAAAAGAAGGUAUACGAACGAACCUUCACUUAACUCCUUGAAGUAGACAUAGCUAUCAUAACUACUCCUCUGAAAUAUAUGAGAGGUCAUAAAAGAGUUAAACCUCUUAUACCACUGCCUGGGUGACUGCUUUAAUCCAUAAAGAGACUUUUUCAACAAGCAUACAUAGUCCUCCUUUCCUGAGACUACAAACCCCUCUGGUUGCUGCAUAUAGAUGUCCUCCUCAAGUUCUCUAUUUAAGAAUACAGUUUUGACAUCCAACUGCUCAAGCUCAAGAUCGUGCAUGGCCAUAAUAACAAGCAAGGCUCAAAUCGAAUUAUGCUUUACAACUGGAGAAAACACAUCUGUGAAGUCAAUACCCGGAACCUGACUGUAUCCUUUAGCAACUAGUCUUGCUUUGUACCUAGCAUCUUUAACUCUUGAUGUUCCUUCUUUCUUUUUAAAUACCCACGUGCAACGGAUAACUUUUUUAUCUUUAGGCAAUCUCACCAAAUCCCAUGUGCCAUUCUUAUGAAGUGAUUCCAUCUCCUCCUGCAUAACAAUCAUCCAUCGGCCAGAAUCAUCACAACUAACUGCCUCUAAGUAAGAAAAAAGUACUUCACCAGAAUUAAUAACUUCUGCUACAUUCAAUGCAUAAGAAACCAAAUCAGUUUCACCAUACUUCUGAGGAGGUCUAAUAUCUCUUCUAGGCCUUUAUUUAGCAAUAGAAUAAUGUGGUGUCACUGGUGGUGAAGAAGAAAUAGUACCACUUUGUAUCUCCAAGAUAGAUUGAGAAGUAGGCACUAGUGUAGUCUCUGCUCCAAUCUGCAAUUCAAUGUAGGUGUUUGAAUGCUGCUGAUUCAUGUCUCUACGCUUAUAUGGAGGUGAAGCACUAGAUUCGGAGGGAGCCUGAAGCACGGUAGUUUCAUCAAACACAACAUCCCUGCUAAUUAUAACCUUUCUGAUUUCUGGACACCAAAGCUAAACCUUUAACACCAGGCUUAUAACCCAUAACUAAGCACUUAACAGAUCUAAGUUCCAACUUUCCAUUAUCAACAUGAGCAUACGCAGGACAUCCAAAUAUCCUCAAAUCAGAAUAACUAGCAGGAGUACCAGACCAUACCUCUUGUGGAGUCUUUUUAUCAAUCGCGACUGAGGGAGAGCGGUUAAAAAGAAGACAAGCCGUGGAAGCAGCUUCGACCCAAAAAGACUUGGGUAAACCAGUAUUAGAGAGCAUACAACGCACCUUAUCCAUUAUAAUCCUAUUCAUUCGUUCGGCCAUACCAUUCUGUUGUGGAGUAUGAUGGACUGUCAAGUGCCUCACAAUUCCUUUUGACUUGCACAAAGCAUUAAAUUCAUUAGAACAAAACUUUAAACCAUUAUCGGUCUGAAGGCGUUUUACCUGCUUCCCUGUCUGCUUGUCAAUCAUAGUUUUUCACUCCUUAAAAGUAGGCAACACAUCAUUUUUUUGCUUUAGAAAGAACACCCAAACUUUUCUGGAAUAGUCAACAAGUAAUUAGCGUCUCCUCUAGAAGGUACUCUAGCAGGACCAAGUGUGCCCUUAGUUGAGUGGAUGCCUUUAGUGAAUCUGACUCUCUUCUGCUUCGCGAAUAUGCAGUGCUCAUAGAACUUCAAUUUGGUAAUACUCUGCCCAUCAAGAAGUCCUCUCCUACUUAGUUCAGUCAUCUCGUUUUCACUCAUAUGCCCCAAGUACAUAUGCCAAAGUUUAGCAACGUCACUUUCUGAUAGGGAGAAGGUAAAAACAGCUGUAUCACCUGUAACAGUAGAGCUUUGUAGGACAUACAAAUUUGCAGACUUUCUCUAUCCCUUCAUCACAACAAGAGAACCUUUAGUAACCUUCAGGACUCCACCUUCACCAGUGUACCUAUAACCACUCGAAUCAAGGGUACUCUAGGAAAUAAGAUUUCUCUUCAGGUCUGGGAUAUACCGCACAUCACCAAGUGUCCUCACAACCCCAUCAAACAUCUUGAUCCUGAUUAUUCCAAUACCAGCUAUCUUAUAAGGUGUGUUAUUUCCCAUCAACACAGCACCUUUAGAGACUAUUUCAUAUGUUGUUAACCAAUCUCGAUUACGACACAUAUGAAACGUGCAAGCUGAAUCAAGAAUCCAAUUCUCACAGGGUUUGGAGUUACCAUCAGAAACUACCAAGAGUUCUCCAUCACUACUUUCAUCUUCCACAAAGUUGGCUUCACCGUACUUCUCUGGUUUCCCUUCGGUUUUGGAGUUUCUCUUUUCUCUCUAUUCUGUAGCUUCCAAUACUCGGAUUCUAUAUGGCUUUUCUUUUUGCAGUAAUUACAGGUUUUGUUUUUGUUUCUGGAUUUCGACCUAUUCCUGUCAUCACCCCCAGAAUUCCUCUCAUAAGUCCUUCCUCCUCGAACAAUGAGACCAUCUCCUUGAAUCUUUGACGCAUUCACAAGAUGCGUCAUCUUCUUCUUAUAGAACAACGCAUCAUAGACUUCAUCUAUGAUCAGGGUAUCACGACUCUAUAAAAUCGUAUCACUAAAGGUCAUGUAUGAUGCAGGCAGCGAACAUAACAAAAUCAAUCCUAAAUCUUCCUCAUCGUACUUAACCUCCAGAGUCUCUAAAUCAGAGACGAUUUCUUUAAAGAUAAAUAGGUGAUCUUCCAAAGACGCACCCUCAGACAUACGAUGGGAAUAAAUUCGUUGUUUGAGAUGCAAAUUACUUGUUAGACUCUUCGUCAUGCAUAAAGAUUCCAGUUUCAACCACAACGCAGCGACAGUGGUCUCCUUCAAAACAUCCUAUAGAAUCUGAUUGGAUAAAUGAAGGUGGAUUUGAAAUAGAGCCUUCCGAUCCUUACGUCGUUUGUCCUCGUCCGUCCACGAUGAGGGCAUCUUAUCAAACCCUAAUAGAGCAUCGUCCAAAUUCAUCUAAGCGAGCACAACCCGCAUCUUAACCUGCCAUAACAAAAAUUUGGUGUUGCGAUCCAACAACGGAAUAUCAUACUUCAUGGUUUCCAUCCCCGAGAAAACAAUCAACCAAGCUUUGAUACAAGUUUGUUAGGAUUCGAACAAAAUAAGCAAACCACAAGUAAAAGAAAAUAAGAACAACACACAGAUUUACGUGGAAACCCUUAUGGGAGAAACCACGAGCAGAGGCAGAGGAGGUUUCACUAUGAUGGAAAGAGAGUAUAAUGUGGAGAAGGCUGAAUUUUCUGAAUAAUAAAAUAACCCACUAAAUCACACUUAUAUAUUACGUGCGUACAAAUAGGUCCUAGGCCCAAAAACAUAAAGGUCCAUCAACCAAAAUUCGGUCACAAUUCUAACAUAUUAUUUCCAGAUUAAAGAAAAAAACUAUCAUGGAGCCCUUGUACUUCUUAGAGUAUCUGACCAUGAGAAUGGAAUCAUAGUAAUCCAGUUCGUUGGCAACUUGAACUCCCACCUUGGUGUUGAAGGUUUGAUUACCCCAUCUUACUUCCAGAGAAAAGAAAAUCACUAAGAUAGAGCCUUUGUACUUCAUUAAAGUAUCUACAUACAGAAGCCUAUACUCUGUGAGGUGUAGCAACAAAAUGGCAAUGUCACUUGUCCCCAUUGGUACUGAAUUGAUGUCAUUCAUAUUUUCCUUUAGCUACUGGAUUUGAAAACAGUGAAUACUUUGUUAAUGGUCCGACAUAAGUAUAUUUUAUAUAAACUAUAAUGUUUUCAUGUUAAUUUACUUUCGUUGUUCUUUGUUGGUCUUUUCUUGAUGUCUGUGAGCUCUCCUUUUUGGUCUGCUUUUGACAAUUUAUUUGAAUGUGUCUCUUUACAAUUUUGCCUUAUUAUCUUUUGCGUAACAUAACCGUAGUGUAAAUAAGCCAGUGCUUGUUCUUCUAUCUUAAUGUACUCCAUGAAAGACUCAGAUAUUGAUCCCUUAUUUUUGCGUCUACGGACAAAAGCAGCUUUGUUACUUCUUAUUUGAUACAGAAUGGUUGUUACUCAGGUUCCUCUAUUUAAACGGAUUCGACUAGUUUCAAAUUUCAUGCUAAUUGAACAGCUAAAGAGAGUUUAUAUAAUCACUUAACUAUCCCGUUUAGCUAAAUCGUACAAUGUGAAUCAAUCACAAAUGUUUAGAUUGAUCAUUGUGAUGUUUGGUGUGAUCAUGCAUCGUUUAUGACUGUAUGUUAUGCCUUAUAGCUACUUGUUAGACCCUCAGUUUGAUGGUUCGGACUACUCAGGCUACUAGGAAUUUACAUGAUCAAUCUACCCAAGACCAAAUGGUUCGGGCCAAAGUUAGAUUCGUUUGAGGUCAGUCUGUCGAUAUGGGCAUGGCAAGACCUUGGUAGUGGCGUGGCUAAGGCAUGGCAAGGGCUGGCAGGCUAAGGCAAAUUAAGGCUGAGGUUGAUUUCAGCUAAGGAAAGUCAUGUUGCAAAGACGUGGUUAAGACAAGACUAGCUGGGCUACACAUGACUGGGACCAGGCGGCUUGGGUACUAACAACGCAGUGGCAUGGGCGAGUGCACAAAUGCCCAGGGCCCUGGUGCGAAAUUGGCACAAGUGCUAUCAAGGAUGUGUUGGCACUGGGCGCGUGUCUUGCACAUGACAAUAAUUUGAAUUUAUAUUUGAAUUUGAAUUAACCGAAAUAAAAUAGGAACAUCUGUUGGACAUGUGACAGAAGGUGUGACCUAUAAAUAGGUACAGG